UGCUUCUCCUCUCUUAGGAACAAUCUGGCCCGAGGGAAGGAGGCCACCUGAAUGACAACGGGAUGACCCAGAGGCAGACACCAGAGCUGGAGAAGUUUCUAUCUGAAACCAAGUUUGUUCCAGGCCAACUAGAAGAGAAAACAACAACAACAACAACAACAACAACAACCACAAAAACCACCCCUAGUCUACAACAGCUUAGUUUAACAAGGAGGAAGAGAAGACCACGAACUUCAACUUACACGUGAAUCUAGAGGCAUGUAUUUGAGUUGACAAGAGCUAGAGCCAAAUCCUGACCAGUGCAGGGAGAACUAUGAGGACUUUGUGGAAGAACAGAGUAUGAAGCAGGGGCCUAGCAGUGACAGAACCCACAACACAUUAAGAAGGUUCACCCAGAAGGAGAGAGACCUGCCCUCAGUGGGGAAGCACGGAGAUUUGGUUUUAAAUGUGUCAGUAACUUGCCCAGAUAAACUAAAGCCUACAAAUGAGGACUGAGUCCCCUUGCUGGAAUCUUUCAGUCUUGAGUUUGUGUUGCUUGUCAGUCACCUGCCACAUGAAGAAGGCUGAGUCUUGGGGAAUGAAAGAAACUGCGUUUGCUGGGAAAUAAGACAAGGAUGUGUAGGAAAUCCCUUAGAGAAGAUCCUCGGAAAUGGAGAUGAAGUCAAGAAAAGGAGGUCUAAAUGAAUCUAAAUAUACUCUAAAAUGAACAGAAAGAAGACAAAAACUGAGGAGUGAGUCAUUUCUAAAACUGAGAUCCUGGGGCGCCUGGGUGGCUUAGUCGGUUAAGCAUCUGCCUUUGGCUCAGGUCGUGAUCCCAGGGUCCUGGGAUUGAGCCCUGCAUCGGGCUUCCUGCUCAGUGAAGAGCCUGCUUCUCCCUCUGCCUGCCACUCUGACUAUCUGUGCACUCUAUCUCUCUGUCAAAUAAAUAAAUAAAAUCUUUAAAUAAAUAAAUAAAUAAAUAAAUAAAUAAAUAAAUAAAUAAAUAAAACUGGGAUCCUUUAGGGGUGCCUCGGUAGUGCAGCUGGUUAAGCAUCCCACUCUUGGUUGCGGCUCAGGUCCUGAUCUCAGGGUCCUGCUGAGAUGGAGUCCCGUGGUGGGCUCUGCGCUCAGUGGGGAGUCUGCUUGAGGUUCUCUCUCCCUCUCUCCCUCUGCCCCUACCCACCACAUGUGUGUGCUC
Mirounga angustirostris (Northern elephant seal) is the source of this 1177-nucleotide long non-coding RNA. RefSeq lists it as uncharacterized. The record is from RefSeq and is a predicted model, not a curated record. NCBI's taxonomy places the organism in Eukaryota, Metazoa, Chordata, Mammalia, Carnivora, Phocidae. The transcript has 3 exons.